Molecule: microRNA precursor, 91 nt
Filed under: Mustela putorius furo (domestic ferret)
Lineage: Eukaryota; Metazoa; Chordata; Mammalia; Carnivora; Mustelidae
Description: miRNA (ENSMPUG00000020446.1)
Source: RNAcentral
AUCACAUGGGGGUCUUGUUAAAAUGCUAAUUCUGAUUUGGUGAGGCUUAAGGCUGGAGAUUCUGCAUUUCUAUCAAGCUCCCAGAUGGUGC